UGAGGAAUAUUGGUCAAUGGACGGAAGUCUGAACCAGCCAAGUAGCGUGCAUGAUGACGGCCCUAUGGGUUGUAAACUCCUUUUGUAUGGGGAUAAAGUUAGGGGCUUGUCCCUAUUUGCCGGUACCAUACGAAUAAGGACCGGCUAAUUCCGUGCCAGCAGCCGCGGUAAUACGGAAGGUCCAGGCGUUACCCGGAUCUAUUGGGUUUAAAGGGAGCGUAGGCUGGAGAUUAAGUGUGUUGUGAAAUGUAGACGCUCAACGUAUGAAUUGCAGCGCAUACUGGUGUCCUUGAGUACGCACAAGGUUGGCGGAAUUCGUGGUGUAGCGGUGAAAUGCUUAGAUAUGAAGAAGAACACCGAUGGCGAAGGCAGCUAACGGGAGCGAAACUGACGCUUAAGCUCGAAGGUGCGGGGAUCAAACAGG
Molecule: ribosomal RNA, 424 nt
Filed under: Verrucomicrobiota bacterium
Lineage: Bacteria; Pseudomonadati; Verrucomicrobiota
Description: Verrucomicrobia bacterium partial 16S ribosomal RNA
Rfam family: Bacterial small subunit ribosomal RNA
Source: RNAcentral